GACGAACGCUGGCGGCGUGCUUAACACAUGCAAGUCGAACGGAAAGGCCCUGCUUUUGUGGGGUGCUCGAGUGGCGAACGGGUGAGUAACACGUGAGUAACCUGCCCUUGACUUUGGGAUAACUUCAGGAAACUGGGGCUAAUACCGGAUAGGAGCUCCUGCUGCAUGGUGGGGGUUGGAAAGUUUCGGCGGUUGGGGAUGGACUCGCGGCUUAUCAGCUUGUUGGUGGGGUAGUGGCUUACCAAGGCUUUGACGGGUAGCCGGCCUGAGAGGGUGACCGGGCCAAUUGGGACUGAGAUACGGGCCAGACUCCUAAGGGAGGCAGGAGGGGGGAAUAUUGCACAAUGGGGGGAAGCCUGAUGCAGCAACGCCGGGUGGGGGAUGACGGCCUUCGGGUUGUAAACCGCUUUCGCCUGGGACGAAGCGGGAGUGACGGUAAUGGGUAAAGAAGCACCGGCUAACUACGUG
Molecule: ribosomal RNA, 468 nt
Filed under: uncultured bacterium
Lineage: Bacteria
Description: partial 16S ribosomal RNA
Rfam family: Bacterial small subunit ribosomal RNA
Source: RNAcentral